GACGAACGCUGGCGGCGUGCUUAACACAUGCAAGUCGAACGGUAAGGCCCUUCGGGGUACACGAGUGGCGAACGGGUGAGUAACACGUGGGUGAUCUGCCCUGCACUUUGGAUAAGCCUGGGAAACUGGGUCUAAUACCGGAUAGGACCGCGCACUGAUGGUGUGUGGUGGAAAGCUUUUGCGGUGUGGGAUGGGCCCGCGGCCUAUCAGCUUGUUGGUGGGGUAAUGGCCUACCAAGGCGACGACGGGUAGCCGGCCUGGGAGGGUGUCCGGCCACACUGGGACUGAGGUACGGCCCAGACUCCUACAGGAGGCAGAAGUGGGGAAUAUUGCACAAUGGGCGCAAGCCUGAUGCAGCGACGCCGCGUGGGGGAUGACGGCCUUCGGGUUGUAAACCUCUUUCAGUAGGGACGAAGCGCAAGUGACGGUACCUACAGAAGAAGCACCGGCCAACUACGUGCCAGCCGCCGCGGUAA
This 476-nucleotide ribosomal RNA is filed under the name uncultured bacterium. RNAcentral describes it as "partial 16S ribosomal RNA". It matches the Rfam family "Bacterial small subunit ribosomal RNA", at positions 28 to 523 of the family's 1533-position model. The record is from RNAcentral.